RNAcentral lists this ribosomal RNA (364 nucleotides) under uncultured eukaryote. RNAcentral describes it as "partial 18S ribosomal RNA". It matches the Rfam family "Eukaryotic small subunit ribosomal RNA", at positions 592 to 975 of the family's 1831-position model. The record is from RNAcentral.
CAAUAGCGUAUAUUUAAGUUGUUGCAGUUAAAAAGCUCGUAGUCGGAUUUUGGCUGAGAACGAACGGUCCGCCGUUAGGUGUGCACUGUUUGGUCUCAGCUUCCUGGUGAGGAGGUGUGCUUCACGGCCACUUAGUCACCGUGGUUACUUUGAAAAAAUUAGAGUGUUCAAAGCGGGCUUACGCUUGAAUAUAUUAGCAUGGAAUAACACCAUAGGACUCCUGUCCUAUUUCGUUGGUCUCGGGACGGGAGUAAUGAUUAAGAGGAACAGUUGGGGGCAUUCGUAUUUCAUUGUCAGAGGUGAAAUUCUUGGAUUUAUGAAAGACGAACUUCUGCUAAAGCAUUUGCCAAGGAUGUUUUCAUUG